UACGUAGGGGGCAAGCGUUAUCCGGAAUUACUGGGUGUAAAGGGAGCGUAGACGGUAAUGUAAGUCUGGAGUGAAAGGCGGGGGCCCAACCCCCGGACUGCUCUGGAAACUAUGUUACUAGAGUGCAGGAGAGGUAAGCGGAAUUCCUAGUGUAGCGGUGAAAUGCGUAGAUAUUACACAGAACACCGAUUGCGAAGGCAUCUCACGAAUCCGCUACUGACGCUGAUGCACGAAAGCGUGGGUAUCAAACAGG
Molecule: ribosomal RNA, 253 nt
Filed under: uncultured bacterium
Lineage: Bacteria
Description: partial 16S ribosomal RNA
Rfam family: Bacterial small subunit ribosomal RNA
Source: RNAcentral